RNAcentral lists this ribosomal RNA (494 nucleotides) under uncultured bacterium. RNAcentral describes it as "partial 16S ribosomal RNA". It matches the Rfam family "Bacterial small subunit ribosomal RNA", at positions 28 to 507 of the family's 1533-position model. The record is from RNAcentral.
GACGAACGCUGGCGGCGUGCUUAACACAUGCAAGUCGAACGGAAAGGCCUGCUUUCCCUUGUGGAUUGCGGGUACUCGAGUGGCGAACGGGUGAGUAACACGUGAGUGAUCUGCCCCCAACUUGGGUAUAAGCCUGGGAAACUGGGUCUAAUUCCCGAUAGGACUGCAGGGUGGUGCCUGUGGUGGAAAACGAUUUUCUAGUGGUUGGGGAUGAGCUCGCGGCCUAUCAGCUUGUUGGUGGGGUAAUGGCCUACCAAGGCGGCGACGGGUAGCCGGCCUGGGAGGGUGGACGGGCACAUUGGGACUGAGAUACGGCCCAGACGACUACGGGAGGCAGCAGUGGGGAAGAUUGCACAAUGGGCGGAAGCCUGAUGCAGCGACGCCGAGUGGGGGAUGACGGCCUUCGGGUUGUAAACUCCUUUCGGCCGCGAGGAAGCCACCUGGUUGGAAGGGUGGUGACGGUAGUGGUAGAAGAAGCACCGGCUAACUACGUG